UACAGAGGCCUCGAGCGUUGUUCGGAUUCAUUGGGCGUAAAGGGUGCGUAGGCGGUCGGGUAAGUCGGAUGUGAAAUCUUGGGGCUCAACCUCAAAACUGCAUUCGAUACUGCUUGGCUAGAGGACUGGAGAGGAGAGCGGAAUUCACGGUGUAGCAGUGAAAUGCGUAGAUAUCGUGAGGAAGACCAGCGGCGAAGGCGGCUCUCUGGACAGUUCCUGACGCUGAUGCACGAAGGCCAGGGGAGCAAACGGG
Molecule: unclassified non-coding RNA, 253 nt
Filed under: uncultured Verrucomicrobiota bacterium
Lineage: Bacteria; Pseudomonadati; Verrucomicrobiota
Description: uncultured Verrucomicrobia bacterium contains 16S-23S intergenic spacer region
Rfam family: Bacterial small subunit ribosomal RNA
Source: RNAcentral